UACGUAGGGGGCUAGCGUUGUCCGGAAUCAUUGGGCGUAAAGAGCGCGUAGGCGGCCAGAUAAGUCCGGUGUGAAAGUCAAAGGCUCAACCUUUGAAUGCCGCUGGAAACUGUCUGGCUAGAGUCCGGGAGAGGUGAGUGGAACUGCGAGUGUAGAGGUGAAAUUCGUAGAUAUUCGCAAGAACACCAGUGGCGAAGGCGGCUCACUGGCCCGGUACUGACGCUGAGGUGCGAAAGCGUGGGGAGCAAACAGG
RNAcentral lists this ribosomal RNA (253 nucleotides) under uncultured bacterium. Its description in RNAcentral is "partial 16S ribosomal RNA". It matches the Rfam family "Bacterial small subunit ribosomal RNA", at positions 524 to 776 of the family's 1533-position model. The record is from RNAcentral.